This 272-nucleotide non-coding RNA is filed under the name Staphylococcus aureus. RNAcentral's name for it is "Staphylococcus sRNA 35 (srn_0335)". The stretch from base 1 to 226 matches the Rfam family "Staphylococcus sRNA 35 (srn_0335)". From Rfam's summary of the family: Other name: Srn_0335, SAOUHSCs258. Northern blot transcript confirmed in exponentially growing and stationary cells in three cultivation media. The record is from RNAcentral. Lineage: Bacteria; Bacillati; Bacillota; Bacilli; Caryophanales; Staphylococcaceae.
AUUUAAAAAUAGGAGGGAGUGGGACAGAAAUGAUAUUUUCACAAAAUUUAUUUCGUUGUUCACCCCAACUUGCACAUUAAUGUAAGCUGACUUUCCGCCAGCUUUUGUGUUGGGGCCCCGCCCCCAACUUGCAUUGUCUGUAGGAAUUGGUGUUCCAAUUUCUUUAUGUUGGGGCCCCGCCAACUACUGCCAAAUAUAACACUAUAGAGUCUAGACAUUGAUUUAUGUCUGACUCUCAAGAAUAGUUUUACUUUUUACAAUCACUAAUAGAU